GUAGGCAGGAGAAGAGAGAGCAGCUGGCAUAACAAUGUUGUGGCGUUUCUGACUGCGUGGGGUACAAUGAUGUCAGAGAGGAUGUUGAAAAUACCUGAAAGAAUAGGUGUUUGACCUGGACAGGAGAGGCGAAUUACACAUACAGAGGAUGGUUUAGUGAAUCAGUUAGUGGUGACAAAGAAAUCAUCCAUCUUUCUUUCCGCCUCUGACGACUUUGUUCCAGACUUGCACUCAAGGACCAGUGCUGGAGCCAAAAUAAUGGAAAGGAAAAAUACAUUUGGGAGAUGAGAGGAUGCAGCUCAUAGAGGGACGUGAAGCUCCGACAACAUAAUCAUCAUGUUCAAUGUUAUAAGCCAUGUAAGCUAUGGAUCAUUAUGAUUAUGAUAAUUGUGUGUAACUGGAUAUUUAACAUGUGUACAACAACCACAAGCAAACCUAACUAUGAUUUUG
Gasterosteus aculeatus aculeatus (three-spined stickleback) is the source of this 450-nucleotide long non-coding RNA. The record is from Ensembl. NCBI's taxonomy places the organism in Eukaryota, Metazoa, Chordata, Actinopteri, Perciformes, Gasterosteidae.